Non-coding RNA from Brachypodium distachyon (stiff brome), 136 nucleotides. Lineage: Eukaryota; Viridiplantae; Streptophyta; Magnoliopsida; Poales; Poaceae. The record is from Rfam.
CUGUUACUCCCACCGUCCAACAAAAGAUGUCUCAAAUUUGUCAAAAUUUGAAUGUAUCUAGACAUGAGUUACUUUAUAGAUGCAUUCAAAUUUAGUUAAAGUUGAGACAUUUUUUGUUGGACAGAGGGAAUAGUUA